AGCUUUACUGAAUUGAUGUAGAGAUUUCGUCAGACACCAACCCAUUAGGGCUGAUCAGACUUCCAAGGUAAGUGAAGCU
Schistosoma curassoni is the source of this 79-nucleotide non-coding RNA. Lineage: Eukaryota; Metazoa; Platyhelminthes; Trematoda; Strigeidida; Schistosomatidae. The record is from Rfam.